GGAGAGGUGGCAGAGUGGCCGAAUGCGGUAGCUUGCUAAGCUAUUGAGCCAUUUUUUGGCUCCGAGGGUUCAAAUCCCUCCCUCUCCGCCA
Molecule: transfer RNA, 91 nt
Filed under: Planctomycetota bacterium
Lineage: Bacteria; Pseudomonadati; Planctomycetota
Description: tRNA-Ser
Rfam family: tRNA
About the family: Transfer RNA (tRNA) molecules are approximately 80 nucleotides in length. Their secondary structure includes four short double-helical elements and three loops (D, anti-codon, and T loops).
Source: RNAcentral